Non-coding RNA from Pelobates cultripes (western spadefoot toad), 16523 nucleotides. Lineage: Eukaryota; Metazoa; Chordata; Amphibia; Anura; Pelobatidae. The record is from the annotation of a GenBank genome assembly.
GUUUAAUUUAUUAGACUACACAUAGCUUGUAUGUAGUUAAAUUUGGAGGAUAGGGUUAAAAAAAUAAGCAAUUCAUGUAGUAAUGUAAAAUGCCACAACUUCAUAAAUAUUUUUCUGGUUUAUUGCAGGCAAUUUUUAAAAUGAUACCACCAGAAGAACAGAAGAAUCUACCAGAUGAUGAAAACACUCCACAGAAAAGAGCAGACAAGUUAUGGGCUUAUUUCAAAAAGAAAGAUAAUGGUAACAUUUUAAAGUUAGCAUCUUCUAGACAGAUUAUUUUGCACCUCAUACUAUGCUACAUGGUGCAUUAUUCAUAUUAUUAUGUGUAUAUAUUUUGGAAUUAAUAUUUUAUUGGUGUUUUAUGUCUAUACAAAAAAAUAAUAAUGAUCUCUCAAUCAUUAAAGUUAAAGUGUCAGAAAUCAAUGACACCUAAGUAACACAGAAACCACGGUCAGACCCAAGUCCAAACUUUACAGAUUAUAAAAAAGUCUAAUUUACACAGAUAAGAAAUAUCUCAAAGCCAGAGAGAAAAAUUCUAAAGAGGAAAAGGAAAGAAACAGAGUUGAGAAUCUCUACCACAUGGGGUGUAGAGGGUGGUUAUAUUUGUAAAUGUUUUUGUUAUUGCUGGUGAAUUCACAUAUUAGUUUUUUGUUUUUUUUAAGAUUCAAGUAUAGUUCCUCAAGUGAACAAUAUAGGAUUAGAAAUAAAUAUCUGUAUUCCUAAUGCUACACUCCUGAUCUCUUCCGCCUCCCCUCCCCCAACUGUACAAAAUGAAUAUCGAAAUAAAUGAAAAUGAAAAAAUUACUCAUCUUUACUCCAGAGCCAAGUCACCCUCGGCACUGCCGUAACCUCCUCCGUCAGCUGCGUCAUGAUGGGCCAAUCCAAUACUACUCAUAGAGUAUUCAAUUAUUCUCUAUCGCUGACCAUGAUGGCACAUGCGCAUGCAUGUGUGAUGUUAUGGUAUGAGUGUCAGAAAGUAAAAUUACCAACUCUCAUAUCCACAGGGCUAGAAGACAUGGGUUGAAGCCACACACCCAAGCCUUCUAAUUAGUUUUAAUAUUGAGCUUUGGCAGGUAGGACUGGGGUAGGACUGCAUGCACUAUAACAACUUCAAUAGGUUGUAAAAUGCCCACAGUAUCCCUUUCAGUAACUCAGUAUGAUUAGCAACUCCUAAAUCAAGUAUUUUAAAGAUAAAGAAAGCAUGAUACAUCUAAACAAGUUCAACUCACAUGUUUGACUUAAAUGAAUAGGAAGUAGUGUGAACCCUGCUCAAAUGAGUUUACAAUCUAAAGGAAUGUGAUACAGGUAGAGUACAAUUUGCACAUUAGAUACACGUAGAGUACAAUUCCCAGAUUUCACUAUUAACAUGACGUAAAGUCAUGAUUUUAUUAAAGACACGGAGGCGAGUAUUAUGCAUAUCUCUUUCUUUAUUACUCUCAGCAGCAAAGACAGAGAUGAAUAAAUAACUGAAAUGAACAAAAAACAGUACAGUACACAAGCAACCAAUCACUUAACACAGGAAGUGACUAUAAUAGGCUUGUGACAACCACAAUCCCCCUCUUUCUUACUGAGAACGAAGACCAGUAUGUAGAAUCAAACUUCAGCUAACGUAGCCAACAGCAUCACCAACAUGGAAAACCCGAGAGAUUCAGGCUAAAAAAGGAGACAGAAAAGAAAAAUAUGGUAACUUCUGGACUCCAAACGGCAUGCGUAUAAUAACAUAUAAGCAAUAAAUCCAAAUAUAACUGGUCUCUUUACCACCGUGGAAUAUUCUAAUAGACAUAACUGUAGCAAGCAAUUCACCAAUACAUAAAAUGUCAGACAAGUAAAACAUACGAAAUCUCCAAGGAGAAUACUUACCGAUCCAUAACCACACUGACACCAGCACCCUUCCACGACUGGGUGGGUGGGAAUAAUACUCGCCUCUGUGUCUUUAAUAAAAUCAUGACUUUACGUCAUGUUAAUAGUAAAAUCUGGGAAUUUUAUUAAAGACACAGAGGUUCCUAUUAUGCAAGUUCAAAGCUUAAAAAACCAUCUGAGAUGCAAAAUGAUCAAUCGGCCCGAAAUAGCAAUCACGAAAAUCGAUUCUUCCAAGCGACAGCCAAGCAUUGAGGUUCUAGAAGCUAUAGUUCCGCGGACCGAAUGGGGAGUGAAGAUAAACGUGUCAAUUCCAGCCAAUAGAACCUUCAAAGCCGACUUCAUCCUUCUGGAGAUGUAAAAGGAGAUGCCCCCUGAGGUAAACGUAACGGCAUUCCAGUCGAGCGUUCUGAUAUCCAACACCCGUUAGCAUGAAAUCAAGCAAAAUAACAUAAUCACCUUAGCUGACAGUUGUUUCAGCGUCAAAUCUAGAUUCGGAUACCAUGACGACAGAAAAACUGUAGAACUCUACAUAUACGUCCUGGAAGGUAAGAAUUCCAGGAUCAUAUGCCACGGGGCAGAUACGGGAUCCCCAGUCUGUUCCACACUUCAACUGGACCAAAUUCGCUAGGCGAACCGGUAUGCUGAUCGAGUGUCUGGUGUCCAUGCAUUGUCGAGGAGAUUGAGAGUUGACUGCGGAACUCCAGAGAUAGUCCAAGGUCCCCUGAAAAGGAGCCACGCCAUUAGAUGCCACCAACUCGCACAAGUUUCCGUCCGGAUCCACCAGUAGAUUCGGAAGAGUCAGGCGCAAUUGUGGGUAAUCUAUUGCCAACCCCAGCAACCACAGUCAUGAGCGCCACAGGGGAAUGAUCAACACCAUCGUAUACUCAUGUUGAGUCAACUUAGAGAGCGUACGAGCUGUCAGGUGGACCGGGGGAAAGGCAUAUAUUCAAGCCAUUGGCCACUCCUGAAGGAAUGCGCCCGUCACCACCGCAGCUGGAUCCGGUCUCCAACUGUAGAACCUCGACAACUGGGUGAUGAGAUGAGAAGAGGUUCACUUCGAAUUGGCCCCACAACUGUUCCAAUUCUAUGAACGCCGAAGCGUGUAAGUGCCAGUCUCCGAAGUCUCACCAAUAACGUAAGUUCCAAUCGGCCGUGGAGUUGUACAGGCCCGGAAUAUGUUCCGCCUUCACAGAGACGUUGUUGUGGAAACAAAAAUGCCAGAAAUCCUUUGUCAGGAGUGUCAACAUGCGCGACUUCGUGCCCCCCAGGUGGUUGAUGUAACGCACCGCGGACACAUUGUCCAUUCUGAGCAUCAUGCAGCAGUCCAUUUGACUGGGUAAGGUUGCGAAUUGCAAAACCCUUGCUAACAGUUCCAGACAAUAGAUGUGCAAUGUCUUCACUAAUUCCGACCAUCUGUCUCUGGUGGGAGCAGCGCCACAACGCGCACCCCAGUUGUGUAAGCUGGCGUCCGAGUCAAACACCACAUCUGGGAUUGAUCCGAAGAUGGCUUUGUCAUUCCAUGUGAGCCAGCCACCGAGUUAGCUUGUCUCUGAACUCAUCGGCCAACCUCAACCUUGUCUCGUAGGAAUGACCCGAACGUAGGUACGAAUCCUUGAGCCGUUGGAGGGCCUGAUCGUGAAGCGAUCCUGGAAAUAUUGCCUGGAUCGAGGCUGCGAGCAGGCCGAUUAUUCUUGCUACAUGUCGGGUAGACAGGUUGUCUGCUCGCAGUGUUCGCCUGAUCUCCUUCUAGAUGGCUUUCAUCUUGGCUUCUGGUAAGAACAGUAGCUGACUGGCAGAGUCCACUAUGAAAAAACCAAGCAUCCCACCGAGUGAGCGGAGGUCAGCAACGACUUUUCCCAAUUGAACAGGAACAACUCAAGUUUUGGAAUAACGCAGUCAUCGAGCUGAUAUGAAAGCUUAGUUGGUCCCUAGAUAGGGCCACGAGCAGGAUGUUGUCUAAAAAUAUAAUCAGACGAACACCUCGGGUUUGGAGGAAUGACACCACUGGUUUCCCAACUUUGGUGAAACACCAAGAAGCCGAACGGGAGGUAUGUAAGCCUCUACCGCUUCCUUCUCCAAAUAAAUUGGAGAAAAUCCCUGCGGUUAUAGGAACCAUGAAAUAGGCGUCCUUCAAGUCCAGUUUGACCAUCCAGUUCGGCACCUGGAGGAGGUCAUGAAGGCAAUGGAUGCCCUCCCUCUGGGAUGUUGGUACCAUAGGAAAACAUUAAGAGGCCAGAGUAUGACAACGGGGCGCACUCCGCCUUCUUUCUUUGGUGCCAAGAAGAGGUUGCCCGUAAAACCCAUGAUAGAUGAACGGCAACUUUUGGAUCGCUCCCUUGUCUAAUAGUACCUUGAUCUCCGCGGAGAUUAAUAAUUCCUGUUCCUGAGACAGUCACACUUCCCUGGGGGCAAAAUACUGGACAGGCAUGGGUACAAGUUCUAAACGGCAACCCUGUAACGCUUGGAGACCCAAGCAUCUGUUGUAAAGUCGUGUCACUCUGCCCACCCCCCGCUCUUGAGCAUAAGGGGAAAAAAAUUGUGGAUACGCACCGCAAGGUCUGCCUGACGCGGCACCUCUAGAGUAGGUCUCCCUCUGGACGGGAAGGACGGAGCAGUUUGGACUCUUGGGAGCCGCGAGAAAAGGAGCUCCGAUGAGCUCGAGACGAGUCCCUGAAUCCCCGGCUGGGUGGGCGGCUCCUGCUGCGCCCGGCCCUUUCGCGAAAAAAACCUUCGGGGAGAAAAAAGAAAAACCCUUUUGUGUUCGUCUGAACUUGUCUAUGGCAUUAAAAAUCUUAACAUAUGACCCCAGGUCUCUGAUAAAAUUGUCCCCGAACAACAUCCCUACAGCUGAGGGACCCGAUUCUGACAUGGCCAUACUAGCCAGUUUGGUAUCAAUCUUAAGGAGCAUCGCCUUGUGGUGCUCGGCCGGAAUGGCCAUAAUUGUGUUGCCUAGCAGACAGAUAGCCCAUUGGACCCAGCCAAUUGCUACGUCCAAAUCAAGUUCCGAUUCGCCUGUCUUAGCAGAAUCCAGCAAUUCUUAAACUUGGACAAAGGCCCCAGCGUGCCCAUAAUUUGUCCUGGCAGUUUUCCAAUGAAAAUUCAAGCCCUAUUUCGGCUUCCAGCACGACUUGUAAGGAACUAGGCAAUUUGCGGGUCAGCUUCCAGGGUUUUACAUGCCGAGCCCGGCAACGAGGGCCUAGGGCAGUCAGCUCGCAGCUUACUGCAUCCAUCCUUAGAGAGGGAGUGCGCAUCCUAUUCGCAAUGUAUCGGUCGAUAUGCCCAGGGAGUCCCCACUCAGUAGAGCGGAGAUGACGCAGGUCAUGCAGGACGAACAGGGGGGUUACCCUGAGAAUCCAGAAGCAAAGCGCCCUCAUUCGCCCUCUGAACGGCAGCACCCUGAAUGGGAGCAGUAACCCCAGUACGGGUCAGUACGGCAGUGGGAGCUAUCCCCUUCAUGCCGGCUUCAUCGUAGGAGGCAUAAUCUACCUUCUCUGAGUCAUUCUCCUCACUCCGGUCUGUAUUCGACCUUACUGCAUGGGAUUUAGCCCGUUUCCACAAUCUGACCAUUUUUGUCCGGCCAGGGGCUCUCUUGCGCGGUGAUAGCGCGCCAUGCGUGACCGCCUCAAGCGAGUCUAUCAGGGCAGGUGACACCUGCAUCGAGGAGUGGGAGGUGAGGUGUUUGACCUUCGCCGUAGCCUUAAGGGCCAUAGGCGAGGCAGGGGUAGAGGGUAAAAACCCUGUACCCAGUAGGGUAGGGAAAGCCGUCGGGAGGCAAUAAGAGGGCCCAUGCCAGCGUCUGAGAGAAAGAUGAUGACAUCGCUCCCAUCGCAGAGGCAAGAGCACUUUUGGAGGGAAGACGCCAUAUGGAGUCAAAUGAUGCUAGAAUUUCUCAGAAGUCACAUGCUUCUCUUGCAAUCACUGAGGGAAAUCAUAAGCUGGCCCUCAGGCCCAUCACCCUUAGCCUGCAUACUGUGGAAUAAUCCCUUGUGUUAGUAAAUAGAUACCAAAAUUAUGUUGUGUCCGUUCUGUGCAUUGCAGAACAUAUAUGUAUACAAGUUCGGUGUUAUGUGAUGAUUAUUAAUUUCUUUACAUUUAAUUACUUGGCACAAGGUAUACUCCAUAUAUGGAUCAAUAUGUGCAUGCUGGUAUACAUUAUAAUUAUUAAGGGAUGUAUUCACCGUUUAUAUAAAAACUUUAACAGAAUAUUCACUAAAGGUUGAACUCUAGGAAAAUAAAUAUAAAUUUUAAAAUAGCCUUAAUAAAAGAAAAAAUCACUAGAUAGGAAUACAGAAAGAAAAGGGAAUAGGGUUUAAUAACCCAUAGAGAAAACACGCAGCAGAAGUAACAUGUACUAACGAAAAAUGGAUAUAUAUAUAUAUAUAUAUAUAUAUAUAUAUAUAUAUAUAUAUAUAUAUAUAUAUAUAUACACAUUAAACCAGCAAAUAGUACCUGGCAGGUGGUGUGCCCAGGGGGACCCAGGGGUACCCAGGUGCGAGGGUUGAGGGUUUCCGCCAGAAAAAGCGGUCGGGAAGGGAGGGAAAUGGCUGCCGCACAAGGUGGGGAGAUCAAAAGGCGGCAUGCAGAAGGGGAAAAGGCACGCGUGCAGGAGCCACGCAGCCCGAUCUGUGCACAGGCAGGGGCUGCCGCCAGGCUAAGUAGCAGCUCGCAAGUGUGAUCCCGAUCAGAGUCGGGUGAUGCCACCCACUAGGGGGCCACCCACGACCCACGGGGGGAAGGAGAGGGUGGGCGGCAGGGAAGCCGCUCGAGUGGGAGAGGGAGCACAUCACGGCAGUAUAGUACUGAAGAAACAGUCAGAAAGUCCGUGCAUAAUCACAAUAACAGUGCAAGCAACCAAAUAGGAGAAAAAUAACACUCUAAAGCAUUACAAUAAACGGAAUCCCAACAGAGCACAAUAAAGUAGUACUUAACUGGUCUGAGAGCAGCAAAGAAAGAGGGAGAUUGUGGUUGUCACAAGUCUGUUAUAGUCAUUUCCUGUGUUAGGUGAUAUGUUGCUUGUGUACUGUACUGUUUUUUUGUUCAUUUCAGUUAUUUAUUCAUCUUUGUCUUUGCUGCUGAGAGUAAUAAAGAAAGAGAUUUGCAUAAUAGGAGCCUCUGUGUCUUUAAUAAAAUUUGUUCAGAGUAGAAAUGGAUUUCAUGUGUUUUGAUAGCAUAGUCUGUAAACAGCAUAUGACAACAUCAGAGAGUUAUCAAAGACAAAUUAAAGGACCACUCUAGGCACCCUGACCACUUCAGCUUAAUGAAGUGGUCUGGGUGCCAGGUCCAUCUAGGGUUAACCCAUUUUUUCAUAAACAUAGCAGUUUCAGAGAAACUGCUAUGUUUAUGAAUGGGUUAAGCCUUCCCCUAUUUCCUCUAGCGGCUGUCUCAUUGACAGCUGCUAGAGGCGCUUGCGUGCUUCUCACUGUGAAAAUCAGCGCUGGAAAAAGGUAAGCGCUGGAAAAAGGUAAGCUUUACCCCUUUCCCCCUUCCAGAGCUGGGCGGGAGGGUGUCCCUGAGGGUGGGGGCACCCUCAGGGCACUAUAGUGCCAGGAAAACGAGUAUGUUUUCCUGGCACUAUAGUGGUCCUUUAACAAAGACAAAGACAAAUGGGAUCAUUUGGCGAGGGGAGAUGUUAAUUGGUUAGUUGAUAUUUUCCUUUGGAGGAUUUUAAGGCUUUCCUAAAUGUCUAGAAAAUGCAGAGAAAAUUUAAUAGAUAGAGCAAUGAUUUUUUGGUGAAAUGGUGAAGCCCUAGAAAAGCUUUGAAAAAAGGGAAUUGGUAGUGUGGGUCCAAAUUUAGGGGAGGUGUAAAUCAUUGGCAUGGUGGAUAUACCUAUUUAUUUGAGUGGAUAUGUAGGUAGGGGCACUGCUAUAAAGUGAUUAUAGCUAAGGAAUAUUCUGAAAUAAUUCUAUAAUUCUUGGAUGUAUAGGGAGCCAGUCUAAAGAAUGACAGACUGGUGAAGUAUGAAUUUAGCAGUGAUCGAAUCAUUUGUCAUCAUCUUGCUUAGACCAGUUUUAAUACAGUAUUUCAGCUGGAAACCAGAUUGGAGAAGUUCAAGUAGGAAGCUGGACAAAAGGAAAUUGGUCAGUCCAAUAUAUACAAGAUAUUUUGAGAAGGUCAAAGGAAAAAGAUAGUAGGAAGAUGAAGCGUUAGUUGAAUUGAGAAUUUGCAUCAAGUGAAGGCAUUUUUAAGAUGAAAGUGACAGUAGCUUGUUUAAGGAUAACAUUAGAGAAAGAUUGAGGAUAGUAAGGGAUAGUGCAAGAGCUGAGGGCAAAGACUGACAAAGAUGCAAUGUGACAGAAUAGUGGGUGCCUUUUGAUAUUUCUUUCAUCCUUUUAGCAAUCUUUUCAGUAGAAUGUAAAAGUCAAAUGCUAUAAGGUUGUUGGGGGGGGGGGAGGAAGCAACAGAAUGAAGUAGUGUUGAAUGAUCAGAAGAGACAUGUUGGAUUAUUAGAGAAGGUGGUGAUUAAUUAAAGAAUAUUGCUUUGGUACAGUAAAGUUCUGAGCCAUAGGUGUGCAGUAGGAGUUUAUUGCACAAGAAGUCAGAUAUGGCCCAGAACUUCCUCCAACUUUGCUUAGCAAUCCUAGGUAUACAUUUAACAUUGUGUACCAGGUCUGGAAUUGUAACCAAGGAUUUUUAAUAUAAUGCUCAUGUAUCCGUUAUAUUUAACAAAUAUAUAACUGUGAUGUGUGAAAAAUAAAAGUAAAUGUUCAAAUGCACACCUCUUCACCAUACAAUUGGACAUCUACAUCUUUGAUCACUGCCAAUCAAUUUUGUAAGUUAUAUUAUAUUGUUUUCUUUUGUGUCUGACAGUCAACACAGAGAAAGCAUAGAGCGAACAAAAAAAAUUAAACAAUGUUUAUAUUUCACAUUUCCAUUUGCAAUGUGUGCCCGUGGUUCCCUGGUUGUGCAUGAACUGAACUGAAUUGCAGUGUCAUUUGUUAAUUUUUUUUUCAUGUAAACAUAAUAGAAAACGGAGCAACACAUAAAAAGUAAUAAUUGCAACAGAGUAGGAAGUGAUGGUUCCACUUUAAACUAUUUAUAUGCCUUAUUAAUUGAUAGCAAAAAGACAAAAAAAACAAAAGCGUAAGCAAGAACAGAUAUUCUAGCUAAAAGUAUGGAUAAGGUCAGACUGUCUUUUUACCAGUUUGCUUUUUGGAAAGAAAAAACUUUAUCAAACUUUCAAUUAAUGAGAGCCACAACUAUAUAGAAGGAACAGAACAACAUUUUACCUCAUCUUUGAUGCUCAAGCAGAGGAUACUAUACGCUUUGUGAGCCCUCUCUUAACAAACGCACCAAGUCAUAUUUAUAAAAAAAAAAAUGGUAUUACAUAUUUUAAUAUAGUUAAGGGGUUUAAACAUUAUACUUAAAAGUGUAGAAAACUGGUAAAGGAAUUUUGAACUUUAGCCAGUGCGGGCCCGCCAUGUUUCAGGCCUUAGGCGGUUGCCUAAUACAAGGCUCUGCCCUUGCUCAAGCCAGUUAUUGUCCCUCAUCAAUGAACUAAAAGCAAUGACAAAAAUACAGACCUAAAACACCCAAAAUGACAUCCAUAUGUAUUUAUGUACUUAUGUCUUGGCAUAAUUUUAGUAUUGUAAGAUACACACUCUCUCACUAUGCCACUCACUUUGUACCCCUGUCUCCCCAAGUGAACAACACAGCAGUUACACAUUCUGAGACACCUUUGCUAGAGUUUCUGAUGCCAGAUGAUGUAGCUCUGCAUCUUUAAUGACAUCAUCAUUACUGCAUUGCUGGUUCCCACUCAAAUUUUGAGAGUGCGGCUAUCAAGGAUAUGCCCCGUGACCCAUGAAUAUUUGAGCUUUCUAUCUGUUCAGUGCCCUGAGGUGGUUAUCUUGUGAUCCCAAUAGCAUGUUCCUGGUUAUCUAUUUCUGCUUGUCUGACUACUGUGAUGUCUAUACUCCUUGACAAAGCUUGGCUUAUUGAUAUUGUGUUCUCUGGAAUCUCUUUCUUUGGCUUAUUUUCUUUGAAGCUGAUAUUUUGGUUUUCAGCCAAGGCCAUCCAGAAUUAAUUUUUUUUUAAAUUCUUUAUUUUUCGUGAUGCUUUGUUUCAACAACAUUCCAUUAAGUAAUCAGCAUAGGAAAACAAGUCAGUACAGUUACAGAUAAAACAGUGAGUAUAACAUUACUCUGAGAACUUGUGGGGUAAACAUUUCUGACAGCAUCAAUUUUAUAUGUUACGUGCUUCCACUUUUUGGGGACUGCUAGAGGAAUGUCACUCAUUAAUGAGCUUCUGCUUGUAUUUCGCUCUGAUUGUAGUCCCUAUGUGCGGUGCCUAUGACCUAUGUACUGUGAUGGUGCGUGCUUAUGCUUGGGGUUGCAGGGUACAAGUGUCUUGUCAUAUGUCAAGUGUGAGAUGUCAUGCUGGUUUCAGGUUGUAGAGGUGGUAGCGGAUCGUGAGUAACUUAUGCCUGUACGCCCCUGUGACAGAACCAUAUGUCUGCUUGCAUUCAUCUGUUUGUUUCCCGUUCGUAUGAAUGGCUGGUUUCUAUAGCCCAGCCAUUCGAAUGACUCUUUUUUCCCGAACAAACCUGCCGAACGAACGGCCACCCAAGAGAGGAGUGUGCUGCUGGUUAACGUAGUGAUCCCAAUUAGAACGUUGUGGUUAACUGCAGACACUUCUCAAUUAAACCGAAUUCAGGGUGGUCGUCGUUCGUAUGUCGACCACGAGGCAGCGGCCAUUUUAAACCAAGUGAAAGCCCAGCGGUGUUCGGCUCUAUUUCUAUGGAACUAAAAACGGACACUUUUUCUGCCGAACACCGCUGAAACAACGGAACGCCUGGCUGCCUCCACGAAAGCAUGCGAACACCGGCCGUUCGGGAGAUUUGGAGCAUACGAAAAGACUUAACCCAGAUAGCCUUCCCAUGGAGUCAUUCUUAUACCGAAAGACUGUAAGAACUUUGACUCCAUAGCGAUUGAACUAUGUGUGUGGGAUCUGAGCGCUAUUCGCUAAUAAUAUGCACUCAGAUCCAGGCUAUCUGGGGAUAGGUGAUACGAAUGGGAAAUGUUCAGUUUUUGUGUAGUUAUAUAUUUUUAUGUCUUUUAUUAUUUUAUGUCUAAGAUGGCGACUGGCUUUGUCCUGGAGUUAAUUGAGUUACUUGGUAAUUAACUCCAGGGCAGAGGGGAGGGAAUCAUAAUGCACUGUUGGUAAAAUCUGUGACUGUGUGUCUGAAAUGUCCCCCUAUCUGUCAUUUAAGUCUCCCAUUUGGUCCCCUAGGGUGGGAGACCUGCAUAAAUACGGGCAGGUAGCCCACAGUAAAGCCAGAUCCUGUUUGACCCUCAAUGCGGAGCUUCUGUCUCGUUAUUGGGGGGAUUUCUUCUUCAUGUUUAGAGACUGCUGGAUGGAACGGAAGCCGCUUGGUGAAUGUUGCUGUUCGACGGUUACCAGCAGUUCGUGUAUUGCCGUUCGGGAGUAUGGAGCCGUUCACGGAUCUCGUUCGGGAGAUUGCCGCUUCCCCUGCAUUUGGUUCGUGUAUUACAGAUUAAGCGAACGGAGACUGUACUGCAGCCGGGGAAGGUCUACUAAACGGCGGUUUUGCCUAAAGACACUGGAGGUGUCUUAACAGCCCCAACUAAUGUGGGGGUGAAGUAAAGGGAUUUGCUACCAUGCUGUAUGCCCCUUACCUAGGGGGCGACUAGGGGUGUUACGCCAUUUGGUAUUUGCUCUUGUGCUUGUCAGCCUACUCUACCCUUGCUUGUGCCGUGUUCAGGGCUGUGUGGGUAUUGUGUGGUGUUGCCAUAUGUGAGCAAAAGGUUAAAAUACAAUCUACAGAAUUAACUCCACUAUAAUCACAAACUGGAUUAGAAUUGGUUUGACAGGGCGGUCCUCAGGGGUUUGCACCCUGUAGUCAUGGUAUUUCUGGACGUGGGUUCAUCUCUCUCGGGGUGAAUGGCAUGAUAUUAGCGGGGUCCCAUAUGGUCGUCUGCUGCUUGGAGGUUGAAGGUGUGGCUGGAUGCAUCAAGCCCAGUGUGCCCAGGAAAGUCUGUGCUUCUCCCAUAUUUGAAGUGUAUGUGCAGUCCCGUUUUGAGUCACUACUAAGGAGCCAUUCGCUCCCCAACGGUAUGCCAGUCCUGCGUUUCUCAGCUGGGCUGUAACUGGUCGAUAGCUUUUACGGAUCUGGAGGGUGGCUCUUGUAAGAUCCUGGUAAAAUGUGAGGCUUGAGUUCUCGAAUGUGAGUGGUGCCUUAUCUUUUAUUGCCGCCAUAAUUUGGAGCUUAUCGGGUAGCGUAAGGCAUCUGAGAAUGACGUCUCGUGCCAAGAUUGUCGUGCGUUGAGUGGGGCUUGGGAGGUGGUAUACACUGUCUAUGGUCAUGCAUUUGGCCACAGUGUGUGACAUGAUGGUUGUCAAUAGUCUUCUAACGUAGUGUGGCAGUUCUUCCGCGGUGAUCUUGAUAUACGUGCGCCUCUGGCGGUCUUCUAGGGUUGCGAGUCAUAGUGACAGUGUCUGAUUUUGGGCUUGGAGCGCUUGUAUAGAGGUAUUUACAUUGGUUAGGUGGGUUUGUACUGUUAGUAUUUCCUCCUCUGAGGCUCGCACUCUCUCAGUGACCACCUGUACCUCUGUCUUUAAUUGCGCGGAGUCCACCGCCAGUAGCUUAUGGAUUUCUGCUAGAAAGAGUUUUAGAUCCCUCUUUGUGGUAGGUGCUGAGUCGUCUGGCUGUUCUUGCAGCUCAGCUUGAGGGAUUUGUGAGGGUUGUGAGUUCUCAGGUCUGUCACGGCCUGCUGCUGUACCCAUGUCCCUGAUUGGCAUGCUUUACCCGGGCGUGGGUCUGUGUUGGGCAGGCCUUUGUAACAUGUCCUCUAUGUCCUGACCUUCCAUCUGGUUUGGGAGCACCUACCUUUGCUGCUGAGGCUGAUGCUGCCUGUCUGCUUGCAUCAAAGUUACCCAGGUGUUCCUCUAGGCUGUGGAGCGCUCGGUAGGCCUUAGACCUGUGCUUCCUCCUUGCUGUUUUUUGUGCCUGGAAAAAUGGCAUCGGACGGUUCCUCUUGCCCUGCUGGAUCCGGUUUGGUGAGUGCUGUGGUUAGAUUGAGCUUGGUAUUGUUGAUGUUGGCAGGAUUAGAUUUGUAGGCAGAGGAGCUUUCAGAAAUUGCAUACUUAACUUGACAAGUAUCCACAGUGUCUAACUUUGUGCUUUUCAGCAUAGAUCAAAGAUGAAGUGAAGUAAAUUUAUUUAUAUAUCAGAACUUAAAAUGUCAAGUCUCAUGACACUAGUCAGGCCUUAAAACUUACUCAACACUGUAAGCCUCGAGAAUCCAUAGCAUACUCAUCAGGGGUGAAUGUCUACCUACCAGGGCAAAUUUUCAAUUACCAGUGGCUAGUAGCAAGUUAAAAAUUUGAGCCCUGCUUAAUACUGUAAAUAUAUACUAUUUAUAUUAAUGUCAGGCGGUCAUAUAACAUGAUACUAACAAUAACAGAGAAAUUCAUCUUAUUAAUUUGUACUUUCUUUCUUCAUGUCUAGAUAAAAUCGCCGAAGGGGAAUUCAUUCAAGGUGUAAUGAUAAAUGAUGACAUUAUGAGACUUAUCCAGUAUGAUCCAAAGAAAUAAAAUCAAGAGCUACUAAAGAAGAAAGAUCGAAAAGGCUGCAGAGGAUGCCAAAAGCUUUAAUGUUUGUGUGUUGUGUGCAUGUGCUUGUGGUGUUUUCAGGCUACUUUUACAGUUUAAACUAAAUGGAUAUAGCAUAGAUAAAUACAUUUGAUUUUAAAAUCAAUAAGUUCAAAAUUAUCUGGAAAAUUAUGCUGUAUUUUUUAAAAUAGCAUAGAUUUUGAUGUGUUUUUUUGUAUUGUUAUGAUAAUCGGGUAAAUCUAGAUUAGUUAUUUUAAUUACAGUUGGGUCAUUUACUCAAGAUAUGUCAAAGCAAUGGAAAAAUUAAUUAAAACUAAAAAUGGCUUUGCUCCAUAUAUUAAUUACAUCUAGAUCAAAGGUAUUCAAUAUGAAAGCUCUGCUGGACAUAACUGUAACAAAAUUUUGUCUGUUAUAUUUUAAAUGUAGAUUGUAGAGCUAUAAAAUAUUUUCUUUUUUUUUUUGACGGAAAUAGACUAUCAAAAUUAUUGAUCUUGAACCUAUAUAUAGCCAAGGAUGUGGGAUAUAUUUUAGUCCAGAAAUAGUUUCUGAUAUUUGAAUAUUUGAACAUAUAUUCUGAACAUUUCUGAUAGGUGUUUGUUAAACAAUAAUUGACAAUAAUAAUGUUGUAUUUCUUGCAACUAAUAUUUUUUUUAUUCAGGACAGUAUUUUAUGGAUAAAAGUCACAAAUAAGUGUUUGGUGUAUAAAAUAAACAAACAUACACUUCAGUGUUGAAAAAAUGCAAGUAAAAAAAUAAAUAUAUUUACUUUGCAAUAGUGCCCACAUACUAAAAAAAGUGAGUUGUUAAAAAUGACUAUCUGCUUGAGACAUAGAGACCAAUAAACACAGACAGAAAAGGAACAAUGAAAGGUACCAUCUUUUAUUUCAUCGAAGUUCUACAGCAACAGAUGUCACAUCCAUUUCAGAAAGUACAAUGAAUUGACUACAAAUUCAGGGCUCCGAGGUUUAUCCUUCUUUAAGAGUGAGGCGUGUUGAAAUAAAAUUACUCUUUUUAGAUGAUAAUCAUAUAUAUUCCUUUUUUUAAUUUCUAAAAAUGCUGCUUUCCAACUCAGCCUUUAUUGGUCUAUACUCAAGGUACAAAGUCAGGCAAUCUUGAUGAAUAUCAAAUCUGCUUCUAAUUCUUUUUUGGUAUCUUCAUUAAAAUCGUCUGGUCAACGUACAGUGAAUUGCUUACAUAAAUAGCGGAACCUCUUCAACACACCUCACUCUCAAACCAGGAUUAACCUGCAGCCACCUAAACUCACUAUAUGGUUAAUUCUGCUCUGUCCAUUCUUCCAAAAUUUAAUACUAAAUGUUAACAAAUACCAUAUUAUAGUAUUUUAAAAAGUUAUAUUUCUAGUGUCAAAAAGAAUAAAUUGUAUCUCAAAUGAAAAAUCGCAUGAAAUUUUAAAAUUUAUUCCGCUAGGAUAUAAAGUGUUAUGUGUCUUUUAAAACAUAUAUUUUGAAGGUGAGCUUUGUUUUAAAUUUUAAGUGUCAUGCUGGAGUGUAGUCACCUCUUUGGUAUCAUCCCAUAUACACCAAACUUCUUUUCUAUUUUCCUAUUGACAAACUCCUUGUGGCCAUUAGUAUAGUAUGUACUCUUCUUGAUGUAACUGUAGUUGAAUGAACACUCCUGUGAUUAUUGUAACUCUUUCGUGAAUCUCUAUUGAUCAAGCAUGACAAGCCUCACAUUUGUGUCUUGAAAAACAAAGAGUGAUAGUAACAUACUUAUGUGUCUUUUACAUCUGAGUAUCAUCUAAUUAAUCAAAAAUGAUGGCAGAUUAUUCAAGAGAUUCACUUUUUUUUCUUUAAAAAAAAAAAAAGUGAGUUUUGAUCAAUGUAUUCAAUAAAAAUACGAAGAAGUAUGAUUUGUUUAAUGUUUUUUUUGUGUGAAAACUACCACAAGUCCAGCUGUUUUACAAGCUUGACCCUGAUAUGAUCUCCCACCUCUUCUACCUGUUCCCUUCUGCUCAAUUUCCUCUUUACUGAUUACUGGAAGGGCAUAGCGAUGUUAACAAAAUCAUGAUUACUUUCUUUCUUCAUAGUGAACACACCAGCAGCCUAAUUUUCCAUUAUAGCUUGCAUCAAUUCCUUGGGAUUUUUAAAACAAUUGUUAAAACAUGUUCAGAAUAUAAGUUAUUUAACAAAUGUUGCAUAAACAAUUUUCCUCCUAGACCACUAAACUCCAUACAACAUUCCUGAAGCCAACAUGUUUUCAGUCUGGACAUAUAUUUACACACUGAUUCUCUCCUCUUUUGUUUAAAGCUUUAGUCUUCAUUAUAUCCAUGUGGGCAACCUGUUUCUCAGCCAAAUAUUUGAUUAAGUCCUUUCAAAAUGGGUCAACAAAGGCAGGGUUAAGCCAUUUAUACUCUUUCUCUACUUUGCCAUUGACAUAUUAAACUUUGUCUAGAUUUUCAGACAUGUCUGUGCGAUUAAUAUAUGCAUAUUUUAGCACUUCAGACAACAAGAAUGAUAAUUAGGACAUCCUAACUGUUCAUCUUUAGUCCCCCUUUUCAAAUACCUAACUUUCCCUUCUGGAUAACGGGUCAUUUACUUCCUAUGGAAAACCAAUAGGGAUCUGGAUGGUGUUUAACAAUUACUGUAUCACCAAAAACAAUAUACAUUGCAGUAUUCAUAUUAGCCUUUCCUUUCAUCUUCCUUCACUGUCUGUUUUAUUUUUCAAAUCAUAGGUCACUUUUUGCAAACCUGCACUAACAAUUUGUUCUACAGGCACACCUGGUUUAGCAUUAUCCCUAGGCCAUGGCUGACUGAUCAUUACUCCAAAUCCCACUAUCCAUCCUGCCAAAUUAUCUCACAGAGAACCACCAAUAAGCUCAGCCACAAAUUCUUUACAGGUCUGAUUUAGCCAUGAACUGAGUUUUUGACUAUUGAAGUCCUGGACUGCGCACUCUUAGGGAGAUUAUACGUUUAGUCUUAUACAGUAUUUUAUAGGUUUAAAACCCAUGUCUGCUUUACUGUAGGGUUUACUUUGGGGCAAAUAUAUACAAAUCUUAACUUAACUUAUAUUAUAUUAUUAGAAGUAAAAGCAUGCCGUAGCAAAAUAUAUAUACAACAAGCACAAUUUAUACAAAGCGG